This 650-nucleotide ribosomal RNA is filed under the name Paenibacillus sp. UST050418-700. Its description in RNAcentral is "bacterial SSU rRNA". It matches the Rfam family "Bacterial small subunit ribosomal RNA", at positions 33 to 663 of the family's 1533-position model. Lineage: Bacteria; Bacillati; Bacillota; Bacilli; Caryophanales; Paenibacillaceae. The record is from RNAcentral.
ACGCUGGCGGCAUGCUAAUACAUCCAAGUCUUGCGGAGUUGAUAGAAAGCUUGCUUNCCUUGAUACUUAGCGGCGGACGGGUGAGUAACACGUAGGCAACCUGCCCUCAAGUUUGGGACAACUACCGGAAACGGUAGCUAAUACCGAAUAGUUGUUUUCUUCGCCUGAAGGAAACUGGAAAGAACGGANCAAUCUGUCACUUGGGGAUGGGCCUGCGGCGCAUUAGCUAGUUGGUGGGGUAACGGCUCACCAAGGCGACGAUGCGUAGCCGACCUGAGAGGGUGAUCGGCCACACUGGGACUGAGACACGGCCCAGACUCCUACGGGAGGCAGCAGUAGGGAAUCUUCCGCAAUGGGCGAAAGCCUGACGGAGCAAUGCCGCGUGAGUGAUGAAGGUUUUCGGAUCGUAAAGCUCUGUUGCCAGGGAAGAACGCUUGGGAGAGUAACUGCUCUCAAGGUGACGGUACCUGAGAAGAAAGCCCCGGCUAACUACGUGCCAGCAGCCGCGGUAAUACGUAGGGGGCAAGCGUUGUCCGGAAUUAUUGGGCGUAAAGCGCGCGCAGGCGGUCAUUUAAGUCUGGUGUUUAAUCCCGGGGCUCAACCCGGGAUCGCACUGGAAACUGGGUGACUUGAGUGCGAAGAGGAGAGUG